This is a long non-coding RNA of Mauremys mutica (yellowpond turtle), 577 nucleotides long. RefSeq lists it as uncharacterized. Lineage: Eukaryota; Metazoa; Chordata; Testudines; Geoemydidae. The transcript has 3 exons. The record is from RefSeq and is a predicted model, not a curated record.
UGAAGAGAAGCAGAGGACAGUUUGGAGAAGUGCUGUGGUGGGCUAAGAAGUCCAAGACCCUAGAUAAACAGCAGGAGUGUGAUUUUUGUUGGGUGCUCCACAGAGAUGGAAACUGACUGCCUUGUGACCAUAAAGAAGGUAGAAUCAGAAGAGAAGGAAAAGAUCUGAGCCUCCGGCCCAAGGCACGGAAACUGUGAUUCUCCUCCCAAAACAGUGCUGUGAGAUAGCUGGCUGGGGCCAGUGUAAGCAGAGGGAGAGCUGAAUAACCUGAGUGGUGCUAGUAAUUCUGAAUGAUAGUAUGGGGACUUACACCGGAAAUCAUGGCUUACUUUGAACCUCCUACCCUUUCCUCCUCUAUGGCUUAAAAUAAGUAGACACUGUUAUCAGACUCUCGUCACGACUUGUAACUUGUCUGCAAUAACAAAGUUAACCAGCAACAGCAGUCAGUGCUCAGUGGUUGCAUGUGAGUAAUGCACUGACAAAUUAAAAACUGUAACGAGAAUGAAUGAAUUAUGAAUAUGCCCAUCACCUUGUCACUUUUACAUUAGAAACUGCAGUCAUUUUAAAUAGCCUUGUU